GCUGGGUGUGGUGGUGUGCACCUGUAAUCCCAGCUCCUUGGGAGGCUGAGGCAGGAGAUUCACUUGACCUCAGGAGGCAGAGGUUGCAGUGAGUGGAGAUCGCACCACUGCACUCCAGCCUGGGUGACAGAGUGAGACCCAGUCUCAA
RNAcentral lists this non-coding RNA (148 nucleotides) under Papio anubis (olive baboon). The record is from Rfam by way of RNAcentral. Lineage: Eukaryota; Metazoa; Chordata; Mammalia; Primates; Cercopithecidae.